GUGCCAGCCGCCGCGGUAAUACGGAGGGUGCAAGCGUUAAUCGGAAUUACUGGGCGUAAAGCGAGUGUAGGCGGCGACGUUAGUCGGAUGUGAAAGCCCCGGGCUUAACCUGGGAAUUGCAUUCGAUACUGCGUGGCUAGAGUCUGAUAGAGGGAAGUGGAAUUCCGGGUGUAGCGGUGAAAUGCGUAGAUAUCCGGAGGAACACCAGUGGCGAAGGCGGCUUCCUGGAUCAAGACUGACGCUGAGGCUCGAAAGCGUGGGGAGCAAACAGGAUUAGAUACCCUGGUAGUCCACGCCCUAAACGAUGUCAACUAGACGUUGGGUUCAUUAAGGAACUUAGUGUCGAAGCUAACGCCGUAAGUUGACCGUCUGGGGAGUACGGCCGCAAGGUUGAAACUC
This 399-nucleotide ribosomal RNA is filed under the name uncultured gamma proteobacterium n25d. RNAcentral describes it as "bacterial SSU rRNA". It matches the Rfam family "Bacterial small subunit ribosomal RNA", at positions 505 to 902 of the family's 1533-position model. The record is from RNAcentral. Lineage: Bacteria; Pseudomonadati; Pseudomonadota; Gammaproteobacteria.